RNAcentral lists this small RNA (169 nucleotides) under Olea europaea subsp. europaea. Lineage: Eukaryota; Viridiplantae; Streptophyta; Magnoliopsida; Lamiales; Oleaceae. The record is from RNAcentral.
UGCGUUUCCCGUCCUUUUGGCUAAGAUCAAGUGUAGUAUCUGUUGUCUAAUAUCUGAUACUUAAAUGUUUUAAAGGGUAGGGCCCACCAUGGUAGCUUACAAUUGCCAAUUCGGGCUCUCGGGCGUUGCCCUGGUUUUGCACUGAAUAUUAAUAGAUGAUGAUUAAUUA